UGCUGCAUGGUUGUCGUCAGCUCGUGCCGUGAGGUGUCGGGUUAAGUCCCAUUAACGAGCGCAACCCUUAUCGUUAGUUGCCAUCUGGUAAUGCAGGGGACUCUAGCGAAACUGCCACCGUAAGGUGAGAGGAAGGUGGGAUGACGUCAAAUCAGCACGGCCCUUAUGUCCAGGGCUACACACGUGCUACAAUGGUCGGUACAGAGGGCAGCUACCUGGUGACAGGGAUGCUAAUCUCGAAAACCGGUCUCAGUUCGGAUCGAAGUCUGCAACUCGACUUCGUGAAGCUGGAUUCGCUAGUAAUCGCGCAUCAGCUAUGGCGCGGUGAAUACGUUCCCGGGCCUU
Molecule: ribosomal RNA, 345 nt
Filed under: uncultured Sphingobacteriales bacterium
Lineage: Bacteria; Pseudomonadati; Bacteroidota; Sphingobacteriia; Sphingobacteriales
Description: bacterial SSU rRNA
Rfam family: Bacterial small subunit ribosomal RNA
Source: RNAcentral